UGUUUGCAGCACCCAGACACGUGUGAACACCCCCAGAAAGCCAAGGGACAAGAAGGCAUUCGGUGAAGGACUAUUUUGUGCUGCACAUCUGGUAUUUGCUCAUUUUCCAGGUGAACCCAGGCACGGAGCUGUUGGAGGGCUCCCUCUUCUCGGGUCACUCUGGAGCCCAGGAUGAAGGCUGAAGAGAGGCACCGACUGGAAGUUAGGACAAUUGAGCUGUCGGUUGUUUGGUGGAGAAGCAGGGAAGAGAUGCGGGCUCCAACACCACCUUUUUGGCAGAGCAGUGGGUGACAAGAAAGAGUUCUGAUUUUCUCUCACGUCUCCCAGCCGCCAGAGAAAGGUGUGAUCAGAUGGUCUUCUACUACAACAGAAACAUUGCCGGAGAUCCAGCAAAGAAACACUAAAUGAUUAAACUUCUCCUGACGCUAAACUUGCACGCGGAGAGGUUAAGGACUAAAAACACGGACAGUAUUUGGGGGAGCCGUAGUUGAUGGGCACGGCCGUGUCU
Molecule: long non-coding RNA, 508 nt
Organism: Passer domesticus (house sparrow)
Lineage: Eukaryota; Metazoa; Chordata; Aves; Passeriformes; Passeridae
Exons: 3
Source: RefSeq, a predicted model, not a curated record